This 64-nucleotide transfer RNA is filed under the name Dipodomys ordii (Ord's kangaroo rat). It matches the Rfam family "tRNA". From Rfam's summary of the family: Transfer RNA (tRNA) molecules are approximately 80 nucleotides in length. Their secondary structure includes four short double-helical elements and three loops (D, anti-codon, and T loops). Lineage: Eukaryota; Metazoa; Chordata; Mammalia; Rodentia; Heteromyidae. The record is from Rfam by way of RNAcentral.
GGUGGCUCAGUGGUAGAGCACUUGCCUUUCAUGCCUGAGGCCCUGGGUUCAAUUCCCAGUACCA